This 525-nucleotide ribosomal RNA is filed under the name Rhodococcus sp. ATCC 21145. RNAcentral describes it as "bacterial SSU rRNA". It matches the Rfam family "Bacterial small subunit ribosomal RNA", at positions 369 to 905 of the family's 1533-position model. Lineage: Bacteria; Bacillati; Actinomycetota; Actinomycetes; Mycobacteriales; Nocardiaceae. The record is from RNAcentral.
CGACUGGGGCGAGCCUGAUGCAGCGACGCCGCGUGAGGGAUGACGGCCUUCGGGUUGUAAACCUCUUUCAGCAGGGACGAAGCGCAAGUGACGGUACCUGCAGAAGAAGCACCGGCUAACUACGUGCCAGCAGCCGCGGUAAUACGUAGGGUGCAAGCGUUGUCCGGAAUUAUUGGGCGUAAAGAGUUCGUAGGCGGUUUGUCGCGUCGUUUGUGAAAACCAGCAGCUCAACUGCUGGCUUGCAGGCGAUACGGGCAGACUUGAGUACUGCAGGGGAGACUGGAAUUCCUGGUGUAGCGGUGAAAUGCGCAGAUAUCAGGAGGAACACCGGUGGCGAAGGCGGGUCUCUGGGCAGUAACUGACGCUGAGGAACGAAAGCGUGGGUAGCGAACAGGAUUAGAUACCCUGGUAGUCCACGCCGUAAACGGUGGGCGCUAGGUGUGGGUUCCUUCCACGGAAUCCGUGCCGUAACUAACGCAUUAAGCGCCCCGCCUGGGGAGUACGGCCGCAAGGGUAAAACUCCAG